GCUCGAUAUCACCAGUCCGAGAGUCAGAGUCUGAAGAGAGAGAGAGAGAAGAGAGAGAGAGAGAGUGUGUGUGUGAGUUCAAGAAAACGUCUGUGGAAGGGAGUCCAAACCAAACCCUUGCUGUGGCACGUCUCGGGAUCAAUCCGGUGAAACCCCGUCGCUAGAGAUCCAAGUGCAAAGCUUCUGAAGAAGGCGCCUUCAUCGGAGGAGGUCUCCGUCACCCCUUCGGUCCGUGGAUUCGAACAAAAGCGAGCCGUUCCCCUUUGUCGGUUUCCAAUCUGUCUUCCGCCGUGAAUAGCUUUUAUCUCUUGGGAAGCUGCUUCCGCUUUAUUUCGGUUACUUUGCAAGUGGUACACCACACCCGGUGCCCCAAGCAAACGCCGGUCUUGCUUCGGCCUUCGGCUGCGGAAGAAAGUGGACGAGCAUUAGUUUAUGCAGACGAAGGCGCAAGAAAAAGGUUCGGAUCUCGAGCACUUUUCCGGUGGGGCUGUGGUCCAAAGGUUUCUAUUUCUGGCAAAAAAAGUUGCAAUUUUGACCCUCGAGUUCUAAUUUUUCAGCAAGGUGCUCGGUUUCUUACUUGCUUGAUCCCCCUUUUUGUUUCUAGUUGUGGUAAAAAGGAUCGAGUUAUCGGGCGAUUUCUGUGACCUGGAUACUGGUUCUUUCUGAUUUUUGGAAUACCGGAGUGUGAUUCUUUAAACGGAGGGUGUAAUUUGGGGAUGUUGCAACCCAGAAGUUCUUUCUUGGAAUCUGCUUCUGCCAUUCCUUUUUCUUCCUAUGGGUUUGAAAACAAGGACUCGGUCUUUCGAUGGCUCAAACAGAGUUGGUGAUGCCUACCUGUAUCUGGAUUACUAAUAAUUUGAACUGAUGCAUCAAAGAUUUCAUCUCUUUGAUUGGCUCAUAUAGGCAGUUUAAUCCCUACCCUCGAGAAAGAUGGUGCCUUCAGGACCCCCUACUCCGGUUGGGGGAGGCCAGUCGGUCCCGGCCUCGCUUCUCCGAACAAACUCUGCCAUGUCGAGAGGAGCCCAGCCUGGUUCUCUCCCUUCUCAGCAGCCAGCUUCGCCCUUGGUUUCUCCUCGCACCCAAUUCGACAAUAUUGGUAAUGGUAAUGGCAACAACAUGAACUUGUUGGGUAACUACACCAACAUAUCAUCGCUCCUCAACCAAUCAACUGGAAAUGGAGUGCCUGUGUCCGGCGGAGGGCUUUCGGCAGCUUCUCUUGGUCUUCAACAACGUGGUGGUGUCGGAAGUGCAGUUGAGAUGCUAAGCUCUGCUGAACUUGAUCCUCUCUCGUUCACUUCAGCAUCUAGCCUAGCCCAAAGACAGUCUUUGCAGAAUCCAUCUAGGAAUCAGCUUGCAGUGGAUCGUUCGCAGAACGAGCAUCGUGAGGGAAUGCACAAGUUUCGGCGACAGUUCUCCUUGCCUCACAUCCAGCAGCAAAUGCUGAGGGGUGGGUUGGGCAAUAUGGGGCCUAUAGCUCCUGUUAAGUUGGAACCACAGAUGGAUCCGUCUGAUAAAACUGGUCCAUCGCAGAACUUGCAGACCUUGUGUAGCUCCAGUGCCACAAAAUUGGAGCCGCAGCAGCUGCACUCUGUUAGAAGUCUGGGCCCAGCAAAACUGGAACGUCAGCAUUCCGAUACAGCUCUUGUUCUGCAACAGCAGCAGCACCAGUUGCUGCAGAUGUCAAGGCCGCCAUCUCAGGCUGCUGCUGCUGCACAGAUGAGUCUCCUGCAACAACAGAGGAUGUUGCAGCUUCAGCAACAACAACAGCAACAGAUACUUCAAACCCGACCACAACAAAGAAUCCAGUUGCAACAGCAGCUUCAACAGGCUUCUAUAAGACCUCAAAUAAAACCCACAUUGUAUGAGCCAGGAACGUGUGCUCGACGUUUGACUCAAUAUAUGUACCACCAGCAGCAUAGACCAGAAGAUAAUAAUAUCAAAUUUUGGAGAAAAUUUGUUGCGGAAUACUUUGCCCCCAAUGCCAGGAAGAGAUGGUGUGUUUCUCUCUAUGGAAGUGGGCGUCAAACUACUGGUGUUUUUCCUCAGGAUGCAUGGCACUGUGAAGUAUGCAACCGUAAACCUGGUCGUGGUUUUGAAACAACUUUUGAAGUUUUGCCACGACUAUAUCAAAUUAAAUAUGCCAGUGGUACUUUGGAGGAACUUCUAUAUGUUGAUAUGCCUCGUGAAUAUCAAAAUGCAUUGGGUCAGAUUGUCCUCGAUUAUGGUAAAGCAAUUCAGGAGAGUGUAUAUGAGCAGUUACGCGUGGUGCGUGAAGGUCAACUGCGGAUUGUUUUCUCUGCUGAAUUGAAGAUAUGUUCGUGGGAGUUCUGUGCCAGGCAGCAUGAGGAGCUUGUUCCUCGAAGGUUGUUAAUACCACAGGUGAGUCAACUUGGGGCCGCCGCGCAGAAAUAUCAGAAUACAGCUCAAAAUUCACCUCCCAGCAUAUCUGCUCAGGACUUGCAAAAUACUUGUAAUUCAUUUGUGGUGUCUGCUCGUCAAUUGGCUAAAACUCUGGAGGUGCCAUUAGUAAAUGAUCUAGGAUAUACGAAAAGAUAUAUCCGUUGCCUUCAGAUAUCGGAGGUGGUUAAUAGUAUGAAAGACCUGAUUGAUUACAGCAGAGAAACCAGGACUGGACCUGUGGAUAGUUUAAACAGCUUCCCACGAAAAGCUUCUUUUGGACUGCACCCUCAACAAACCCAACAACCCAAGGAUCACCAGAUGGUUGCCCAAAACUCAAUCCACAGUGAUCAGAGCUCUUCUCAUGUAAAUAGUGUUCAGAUUGCUGGUUGUAAUGGUGCAAUGAAUGUUGAGAAUUCCCUUGGAAAUCUAACCGCGACCUGCACCACAACUUCCAUAUCGGAGCUUCUUCACCAGAACUCUCUAAAUUCAAGGCAAGGAAACCUGGUUAGCACCACAAAUGACCAUAGUGGUGGUGGGAGUGUGGUUCCAAUACCAUCAGCCAGCUCCUCCAAUUCACUGCUCCCUUCCCAACGAAAUGCAUCGUCUCCUUUUCCCUCUCAGAUGCCAUCCGCAUUAAGUGGUAACAAUGCCCCAACCUCUCAUAACCUUGUUCAUUUGAACUCUGUUCCUCCACCUGCAAAUAUGUCAAUGUUGCAACAACCUCCAGUACAGUCUCAUGAAGCCAACCCAACUGGAUCACAGAGUUCUGUGCAGAAAAUCUUACAGGAAAUGAUGUCCUCUCAGCUGAAUGGUGUAGGCAACUUGGAAGAUGAGUUGAAGGGACUUAAUGGUGUUACACCUGCUUUGAACGGAGUUGAUUGUCUGGUCAGAAACGGGAUGGCAAACAACUCGGGUUAUGGAGAAAUGGGUUUCAGUGCCAUGGGUAUGACUGAUCAAUCAACAACUGCUAAUGGAUUAAGAGCGGUUAUGGCAAAUGAUACUAUGACCAUGACUGGUAGGGUUGGGAUGAACCACCUGUCACAGUAUCCACACACCAUGAAUCAUCAGCAGUUGCAGGACAUGGAAAGCAGGCUUUUGAGUGGGUCUGGACAUGUUAAUGGUUUUGACAAUCUUCAGUUUGAUUGGAAAUCCUCACCUUAAAGAGUGAAACAGACUUAUUUUGCAACAAUAGUACAUGGGCAAUAGCUGAAGGACUUUUACCACCACCUCAUUUACAUGUGUUCCAGUCCAUUGCAGCCCAUGUAAUUCUCACUUUCUGUAUUAAUCUUAUGUCUAGUUUAGCUUGAUUUGCAUCUGAGGCAUCCCACAUUUAUAAUGAAUUAGUGACAACUUUUUCAUCAAGGGACAUCAUGGUAAGCAUCAUAUUUACAAAAGGAGAGCAAGCAAGCAGAUUAGAGUAGCUUCCUUGUGCUAGCUUGCAUGCUAUGCAUACAGCAGAAAGGUAUUUUCAAAGUAUCAGCUUAAAUCAGUGGAGGUUUACGCGAAAGAGAAAAAAAUUUAAGCUCUGAUGGUUUAUUUUGGCACCAAAUACACAUCAAGCCUCUGUGGUGGAGGAAACAGAUUUUGACAGUUAAUUCUCUUGAGGUUGCAGUUUGCUCAGUUCCUCCUUGCAGUUGGAUCCUCUUAUUUAGAACCACGAUCUCAUCUUGGAAUGGAUUGUUGGUUGAUCAGAAUAUAAUAUUAGAAUGUCAUGUGGAUCAGUUGGUAUAACAGUUCUGAUACUUGGGAUAUCUGGACUGGAAUUCACAAAGAAGAGCAAAUUUUGCAGGAAUAAGCAUGGCAGAUAACAAUUGUUCAUGAACCGACUAUAGUGCAGUGAUGUCAGGUAUGCAAGGAAAUUUGUUUUUUUUGGUAUAUUAGAAGAUAUAUAUAUGUACUGUUCGAAUUACUUUUAAGGUUACAUGUCCAUAAAUGCCUCUCUUCUUGUAAUCUUGAAAGUUCUUUUGUGCAUUUAAAGUUUGCUAUGGAUCUUACA
Molecule: RNA transcript, 4396 nt
Organism: Musa acuminata AAA Group (dessert banana)
Lineage: Eukaryota; Viridiplantae; Streptophyta; Magnoliopsida; Zingiberales; Musaceae
Gene name: transcriptional corepressor SEUSS-like
Exons: 10
Source: RefSeq, a predicted model, not a curated record